ACAAGAGUCAUCUAAUUAAUCCAUUAACCCAUUCUCAAAACGACGCCGUUUCGAAAACAACACCCUCACCUUCUCUUUAACUUUCGCUCAAUCAAAAACCCAAAAUCUCAAAAUCCCUAAACCUAACUUCUAUUUCUCCUCUGUAAUUGCUGCAACAACGAUGGAGAUGGAGCUAAGUGAGGACCUUACAGACUGAUCAAACAACUCAACGAAUAAUCUCAAUCAUAGGAAAAUGGACGGUGGUUUUAACAUGGAGGUUUGCAUAGGAGAAUAACGCGGUCGACAAGAGGGGGAAGUAGAGGAAGAGAGAGCCGAGGUAGCGGUGGAAAUGGUGGUUGGUUUGGUUUGGGUAGGUCUAUAAGGCAUUGGUUUGUUUGUAUUGGUGGUUGUGGUGAAAGCUAAAAUUCAAAUUUGAGGAGUAGAGGUUUUUCGAUUUUUAAUAACGGUGCUUCUUCAAGAAUAAGAAGAUUGGAUGGGGAGCUUAAUGGAAGGGGAAAAAAGAGCUGGAAGAAGUUAAUUUAAAUAAAGGGCAAUCAGAAGAAAAUGAAUUGAGCGUUUGGAAAAGAGCUAAGAGUAAGAGGUAAUGAAACAAAGCCAUAUGUUUUAGUUUGUUUUUUUGUAAUUUUGAGUCAGGAGAAGCAUCUUUCGUUUUUUUUUGCAAUUUUUUUCCUAGAAAAUCUAUGAAAAACAUCCAUUACUUAAAAGUUUAA
This is a non-coding RNA of Jatropha curcas, 710 nucleotides long. NCBI's taxonomy places the organism in Eukaryota, Viridiplantae, Streptophyta, Magnoliopsida, Malpighiales, Euphorbiaceae. The record is from RefSeq and is a predicted model, not a curated record.